This 864-nucleotide long non-coding RNA is filed under the name Trifolium pratense (red clover). RNAcentral describes it as "long non-coding RNA (TPRA_LNC008572)". The record is from RNAcentral. Lineage: Eukaryota; Viridiplantae; Streptophyta; Magnoliopsida; Fabales; Fabaceae.
GAUAAUUAUUUACUAAUAUCAUGUAAUAACAAAAACCAAUCAAGAUAAUUCAAUGGCUUCAAUACUAUCACUAAGGUUUCAAAUAGGGCUACAAAAACAUUUAAACUAUAAUUGGGUGCAGGACGCACGAACGUAGGCCCAAUUAGCAACAAAUUAUGGUGUAGGUUCCACCGAUGUGGGACUAUUAAAUACUAUUAAAUACUAGUGGAGGAGUAGUGGUUAACAGACUCAACAGGCAGUUCUUUCUUUGUCACUUGGUGAGAAAAGAAACAUAGAAGACAGUACUCCCCCAAGAGGCAUACAUAACUGCUAUUUAAUUACUAUGAACUGAUUACAUAUUUCUGCUUAUCUUUGAUGUUAAUAUGCUUGAAAUGUUCCAAUUUGUUGAGUACAAGUGAAUCUUUGCUUGUGGAUUGAAGGCAGAGGAAAUAAAUCACAAUUUUACAUCUCUCCAUAUAAGGAAAAUAUUGGUGGAACAUGAUUUCACAUUAAUUAUAAGCAACCUGAAACAAAUGAACACCGCACAAAGACCAGACAACAAAAUACACCGUACAAAGACGGGAAAUCAAAACAAACAAAUAUGUGAAAAAAUAAGCAAACUGAUUUAAUCACAUAAAAAGAAACAUAGUUAUGCAUAAAACACAAAUUCUGAUGAGUUAUCCGUAUUCGACCGAUUAAAAUUUUUGAGUCACAAAGAGGCCAACCGGAAACUAUAAUCUCAAACACACUGAGAUGUAAAACUGGCAUGAAGCACUAUACUUUUGGCGGAGUAUUAGCAAACCUCCAUGAAACUUGAACUAAAGCAUCGGUUGUCCGACUCCCCAUCACCUCAGAUAUUGGCACGGUCUCUUCAAUCUCCUUCAA